RNAcentral lists this ribosomal RNA (459 nucleotides) under uncultured bacterium. Its description in RNAcentral is "partial 16S ribosomal RNA". It matches the Rfam family "Bacterial small subunit ribosomal RNA", at positions 338 to 795 of the family's 1533-position model. The record is from RNAcentral.
CCUACGGGAGGCAGCAGUGAGGAAUAUUGGUCAAUGGCCGCAGGGCUGAACCAGCCAAGUCGCGUGAGGGAUGACGGUCCUAUGGAUUGUAAACCUCUUUUGUCAGGGAACAAAGGCCGCCACGCGUCGCGUGUUGCGAGUACCUGAAGAAAAAGCAUCGGCUAACUCCGUGCCAGCAGCCGCGGUAAUACGGAGGAUGCGAGCGUUAUCCGGAUUUAUUGGGUUUAAAGGGUGCGCAGGCGGAAUGUCAAGUCAGCGGUAAAAUUUCGGGGCUCAACCCCGUCCUGCCGUUGAAACUGGCAGUCUUGAGUGGGCGAGAAGUAUGCGGAAUGCGUGGUGUAGCGGUGAAAUGCAUAGAUAUCGCGCAGAACUCCGAUUGCGAAGGCAGCAUGCCGGCGCUAAACUGACGCUGAGGCACGAAAGCGUGGGUAUCGAACAGGAUUAGAUACCCGAGUAGUC